GACGAACGCUGGCGGCGUGGAUUAGGCAUGCAAGUCGGACGGUAGAGCUUUAUCGUAAGAUAGAGUUUGAGAGUGGCGAACGGGUGAGUAACACGUAGGAAUCUACCCUUAAGACGGGGACAACCCAGGGAAACUUGGGCUAAUACCGGAUGAGAGUGCGAGAGAUUGCAUUUAAAAGGAUGGCGAAAGUUGUCGCUUAGGGAUGAGCCUGCGGUCUAUUAGUUAGUUGGUGAGGUAAGAGCUCACCAAGGCGAUGAUAGAUAGGCGGCCUUAACGGGUGGUCGCCCACACUGGGAUUGAGAUACGGCCCAGACUCCUACGGGAGGCAGCAGUCGAGAAUAGUCUACAAUGGUCGGAAGACUGAUAGUGCGACGCCGCGUGAACGAUGAAUCCCUUCGGGGUGUAAAGUUCUUUUAUAUGUGAGCAGUGCUUCUUAUAUUAACAGUAUGGGGAAGAGAUAUUAGCAUAUGAAUAAGCAACGGCUAACUCCGUG
Molecule: ribosomal RNA, 493 nt
Filed under: uncultured bacterium
Lineage: Bacteria
Description: bacterial SSU rRNA
Rfam family: Bacterial small subunit ribosomal RNA
Source: RNAcentral